GACUAAGAAGUUUCCAAAGAUUCAGUUGGGUCUUGGAAGCAAAGCAGGGUCAGGCCUGGUUAGUACACGGAUGGGAGGCCACUUGGGAAUACUAGGUGCUGUAGGCA
RNAcentral lists this ribosomal RNA (107 nucleotides) under Carlito syrichta (Philippine tarsier). Lineage: Eukaryota; Metazoa; Chordata; Mammalia; Primates; Tarsiidae. The record is from RNAcentral.